Molecule: ribosomal RNA, 441 nt
Filed under: uncultured bacterium
Lineage: Bacteria
Description: partial 16S ribosomal RNA
Rfam family: Bacterial small subunit ribosomal RNA
Source: RNAcentral
CCUACGGGAGGCAGCAGUGGGGAAUAUUGCACAAUGGGGGAAACCCUGAUGCAGCGACGCCGCGUGAGUGAAGAAGUAUUUCGGUAUGUAAAGCUCUAUCAGCAGGGAAGAAGAACGACGGUACCUGACUAAGAAGCCCCGGCUAACUACGUGCCAGCAGCCGCGGUAAUACGUAGGGGGCAAGCGUUAUCCGGAUUUACUGGGUGUAAAGGGAGCGUAGACGGCUGUGCAAGUCUGAAGUGAAAGCCCAGGGCUUAACCUGUAGACUGCAGUUGAAACUGGCUUUCUUGAGUGAAGUAGAGGUUGGCGGAAUUCCGAGUGUAGCGGUGAAAUGCGUAGAUAUUCGGAGGAACACCGGUGGCGAAGGCGGCCAACUGGGCUUUAACUGACGCUGAGGCUCGAAAGUGUGGGGAGCAAACAGGAUUAGAUACCCUGGUAGUC